GUAGGCCUUCGCCUGCUCGCGAUAGCGGUCUGCCAGUCAGCCUUUUCAGAGACUGAUACACCGCUAUCGCGAGCAGGCGAAGGCCUAC
This 88-nucleotide unclassified non-coding RNA is filed under the name Pseudomonas sp. Z003-0.4C(8344-21). The record is from RNAcentral. Lineage: Bacteria; Pseudomonadati; Pseudomonadota; Gammaproteobacteria; Pseudomonadales; Pseudomonadaceae.